AACCCUAUCUUACUGUGAGACACUUGUUGAAUUAUUUACGAAUUACAGAACAUAAAUGAAUUUAUUGUUUAUGUCAUUAAUGUCAAUGCCAUUAGCCUAUUCAUCAUCAGAUAAAUACUACUGAAUAAUUAAAACUCGACCCCCCCCGAAAAAAAAACACUUGCCCACCCUUUUAACUUUAUUAGUGUCACAGUCACAUGACUAUAAAGAGUUUGUGGGAAACUUAAUUAAUAUAAGAAGUGUUGUUUUACAGAUAAGUAGAACUUAUAUUUUCACAUAGCUUAAUUCGCUCUAGAUUUACCCGCAGCUUAACAGAAACUGCUUCUUCGCAACUCGAUUCCCAUACUGCAUCAGGCGUAACGUAUUGUGCGUGGGGGUUGAGAGAAAAUCAGCUGAUUAGCCGGUGAUCUCCACAUUAAGGGAGAUUUUGGGGUGAACGCUGUUGGCAAUCGGUGAGCUGUAACUGGCGGAGUAAGGCGCUAAAGUGUGCUUAUUUGAUUCACCUGUUUUCCCUAACUGACCUUGAUUGUGAAUUAUCCGGGCUGAAGGUGUUCUGAAUACUGAAGGCGUUCUGAGCUUUGAAAACAUUAUUGGGUGACAGGAUGGAUUUCUCCAAACUACCCAAGAUUCGUGAUGAGGAGCAGGAGAGCAUGUUCGGAUACGUGCAUGGAGUCUCUGGGCCUGGU
Molecule: long non-coding RNA, 686 nt
Organism: Protopterus annectens (West African lungfish)
Lineage: Eukaryota; Metazoa; Chordata; Ceratodontiformes; Protopteridae
Exons: 3
Source: RefSeq, a predicted model, not a curated record